AACCAGUGUCCGGACCGCCUGCUGGGAAGGGAAGGAGCAGCACCAACUGCUGAGUACCCCCCUCUGGUCCCCACUCCCUGCACCUUACCUCCCCAGUCGAUCCGGGGGCGGCCCCUCCCCGCUGACGGAGAACCAGAAAGAAGGGCGGGGGAGAGAUGGAGGUUUUUACAGCAUGACAUCAAGGAAGAAGAAAUGGCUAUGAUAUAUAUUACCUAAAAAUCUGGAAAGCCUGGAUUCAAUUUGUGAUUUUAUGACAUUCUAGCUGUAGAACAUUUGGACUGAGAAUUUCCUUACCCCACUGAGAGAUACUGAGAGGACAGAGGAAGGAGGACCUUGCAAAAACAAAUGGUGUGGCCCAGAAAGUCUCUGGUUCACCUUCUCAGAGACCCAAGGAAAUCAUGAGACAUGGGUAAGGAGAUCCCACUCCAACAAGGGUCCUGGUCCAAAAAGUUUCUCCUUCCUAGGUAAGGCAGACCCUUCCAAGACAAAUACCAAGCCAGAGAACCCUCCUCCCCACCACAGGCCUCACACUCUCUUCCCCUGCUGGGGUACAAAGUGUCAAGAAGGUACCAUUGACAGGAAGAGCCAGCCACAGUAGAUGAUCAUUCCCAGAAAGUCUCUUUGCCCUCAUGGGCCUAAAAACACCCACCUACACCAGAGACACAGGGACAGCCGGAAGACCUUGUUAGGAAUUCUUGGAAACCAUUAAUAUUAUUAAGGAAACCUCUUCUUCCCAGGGGACCUGGGACUCACUUUUCCCACUGAAAGACACUGGCCAAGGAAAUCCCUUCUGCAACUGUAGCCAUUGCUGUCAUGGACAAGUAGGAGGUGAGUAUCACAUAAACUGAGAAAAACAAAAUAACACAGCAGAGGCUCUGAAAAUAUGCUGUCAUUGAAAGCACACUCCAGAAAAGUAGACCAGAAUCUGCAUACUGAAUAUGAACAGAAUGAAGACCUGAUGAAAUUAAGAAAUAAAUAGACCCAGAGUCUGCUGGCAUAAUACAAGAAUAUUCAGGAUACAAUUGAAAAUCAAUGGUCAUACUAAGAAUAUAGAAAACUACAACUUGAAUGAGUAGAGACAAUCAACUGAUACCAACACCAAGACAAAUCAGAUGUAGUUAAUUGCUGAAUUAUCUGAUAAGGAUUUCAAAGUACAUAUCAUAACAAUAUUGCAGCAGGGCAUUACAAAGUUUCCCGAAACAAAUGGAAAAUAGAAAAUUUUUGAAAUGAAAUAAAAGUUAUUUAAAAAAUCAAAAUUAUAGGAAGAUAUAGUAACAGAAAAAAAACUGGGAUGAGCUGUAAGCGAAAGAAGUCACUGAACUUGAGGAAAGAUCACAGUAUUUACCUGUUGUGAACAAGAGAGAAAACAGAUUUUUUUUAAGAGCCUCAGUCUCCCAUGGGACAAUAACAAAAUAUAUAAAGAUUUGCAUCUUUGUAGCCCCACAAGAGAGAAGGGCUGAAAGACUAUACG
Molecule: long non-coding RNA, 1471 nt
Filed under: Callithrix jacchus (white-tufted-ear marmoset)
Lineage: Eukaryota; Metazoa; Chordata; Mammalia; Primates; Cebidae
Description: lncRNA (ENSCJAG00000076629.1)
Source: RNAcentral